Molecule: ribosomal RNA, 63 nt
Filed under: Gallus gallus (chicken)
Lineage: Eukaryota; Metazoa; Chordata; Aves; Galliformes; Phasianidae
Description: partial 12S ribosomal RNA
Source: RNAcentral
CAAAAGACUUAGUCCUAACCUUUCUAUUGGUUUUUGCUAGACAUAUACAUGCAAGUAUCCGCA